Molecule: RNA transcript, 1399 nt
Organism: Lactuca sativa (garden lettuce)
Lineage: Eukaryota; Viridiplantae; Streptophyta; Magnoliopsida; Asterales; Asteraceae
Source: RefSeq, a predicted model, not a curated record
GGACAAUUAUAUGCUGGGCAGAAUCUGUCAUCAUGUUAUAAAUUAUCUCUCAGUCAUGGCUGAACAGAGGGAAUGCCCUGAGGAAUGCCACGAAGCUAUCUCCACUUUAAUCUUUUCUGCAACAAGCUUUCCUGAUCUGCCAGAAAUGCACGACCUAAUGAUUCUAUAUGUGCCAAAUGGUGUUUGGCAAUAGGUGUAGCACCUAUCAAUCAGGUAGCUUGACUAAACCAGAUAAAGCAAACGAUGGAAUUUUUGGAUUUGGGCAAAAUGGUCUUUCUAUUGUAUCACAAUUGUCUUCAAGAGGAAUUACUCCACAAUUCUUUUCACAUUGCUUAAAGGGAUAUGGAAUGGGUGGUGGAAAGCUUGUUCUUGGUGAUAUUUUGGCCCUGACUAUGGUUUAUAGUCCCCUUGUCCCAUCACAGCCUCAUUACAAUCUUGAUCUACAAUGUAUUUCGGUCAACGGUGUUGACCAUUGACCCAACAGCUUUCGCCACAUCAGAUAACCAAGGAACCAUUGUUGAUACAGGAACAACUUUGACAUACCUUGUUGCAGAAGCUUUUGACCCUUUUGUUAAUUCUAUAACUGUUGCUGUUUCACAAUUAACAACACCUGUCAUCUCAAAGGGGAAGUUAUUUAGUUACACCAAGCAUAAAUGGGAUUUUUCCUGAGGUUUCCUUAAAGUUUGUUGGUGGUGCUUCCAUGAUUCUUAAACCUAAAAACUACCUUGUACAUGGGGAUCCUGUUGUACACCAUGGUGUAUUGGCUUUCAAACAGUCCAGAAUGGUGUGUCAAUUCUUGGAGGUUAGUUAAAAUAUAGUAAUUGACAAUUUUACCCUCAAGACUCUACUUAUUGUAUAGACUUAUUUUUUUUUUCUUCUUGUGGCAUUUUAUAAAUGAGACAAAAUUCAAUGAAAAUGUUGACAUUGGUUUUAAAAUUCAAUUAACUCCUAUUUUUGCAAAAAGAUCAAAAUACCCUUAUCAUCUUUUUUUAAAUAAGACAAUGGUUUAUUAAUUUUUCAUAUUUAUUGAAAUCUUAUAUGUUUAUUAUAUUUUUUUCUUAUCACUUCUUUUCAAAUUUAUUGAUAUCUUAUAUGGUGAUUAUUAUCUUAAAUUACGUAUGAUUUUAUCUAUUUUUGUAAUUAUAUUUCAUAUUUAUUGAAAUCUUAUAUGUUUAUUAUUUUUUUUUCUUAUCCGAAUUCGUUUCAAAUUUAUUGUGAUAUCUUAUAUGGUAACUAUUAUCUCUUAAACUAGGAAAUGUUUUUUAAAAAUCAUUAGAUUGCUGAUUGCAUCAGACUGGAAAUUUCUACAUUUAUGUUUUCUAUGAAAACAAAAACAAUAAACCAAAGCAUUCAUUUCAAUUUCAGGCUCACAACAGCAGUUACAAUUUAUAAUAUACCA